RNAcentral lists this ribosomal RNA (248 nucleotides) under uncultured Paracoccaceae bacterium. RNAcentral describes it as "uncultured Rhodobacteraceae bacterium partial 16S ribosomal RNA". It matches the Rfam family "Bacterial small subunit ribosomal RNA", at positions 355 to 620 of the family's 1533-position model. The record is from RNAcentral. Lineage: Bacteria; Pseudomonadati; Pseudomonadota; Alphaproteobacteria; Rhodobacterales; Paracoccaceae.
UGGGGAAUCUUGGACAAUGGGGGCAACCCUGAUCCAGCCAUGCCGCGUGGACGAUGAAGGCCUUAGGGUUGUAAAGUCCUUUCGCCGGGGAAGAUAAUGACGGUACCCGGUAAAGAAGCCCCGGCUAACUCCGUGCCAGCAGCCGCGGUAAUACGGAGGGGGCUAGCGUUGUUCGGAAUUACUGGGCGUAAAGCGCACGUAGGCGGAUCAGUCAGUCAGGGGUGAAAUCCCGGGGCUCAACCCCGGAA